Petromyzon marinus (sea lamprey) is the source of this 2689-nucleotide non-coding RNA. The record is from RefSeq and is a predicted model, not a curated record. Lineage: Eukaryota; Metazoa; Chordata; Hyperoartia; Petromyzontiformes; Petromyzontidae.
ACACACAGAGUGUGUGUACGUACACACACACACGGGCUAAUUAACAUAAUAUAUUUAAGAUAAGAGCCGCUCGUUGUGGGAGGGGAGUGUUAUCGUAUCCCGCAAGUGACGUCAUGUCACCUGCUGCCGCAUGACAAGAAGUUGCCGCUCCGCUCGUGCACUGAAAUCCGAGGCCAAGCCCACCUGAGCUAUACCGCUCUUGUUUUCAGAAGCGACCUGCACACAACACAAGCACGGGAUAGCAAAAGAAUGUAACACCCCGAGCGGAGGAAAUGACUCAUCGCCAGAGGGCUCGUUUAUUGCUGUGAAGGCGUCUGUGCCCACGGAAGAAAAGAUGGCUUAAUAAAUGACACACACACACAACACACGUACAACCCCCCCCCCCCCACAACACCGAGCGAGGGAAAUGGCUCGUUUAUUGCCGUGAAGGCGUCUGUGCCCAUGGGUGAAAAUAUGGCUUAAUAAAUGACACACACACGGACACACAUACAGCCCCCCCCCCACAACGCAGAGCGAGAUCAAAGGAAGUUCUGGCCCUUUGUGAGAGCAUGACGGAGUAAGCAUCUGUUUUUUUUCCUCUCGCAAGAGACGCGCAGAGGGGAGAUUUUUCGGAUAUAAACAGCAACAUGACACACACAGUUCAGCUUGACAAUUCAGCUCAACAUCGCAGCAUCCAGCGGCAGAAGACGGUGACCAUCAGCUCGGAAGAGGACAGCAAGCCAGCUCCGGGGUAUGGCCUCGAGAUCAACAAUGUGUGUGGUGCAUCGCAGAGAAGAGGGGCGAGGUGAUGCUCUGUGCUGAAUUCAGCAUGGGCCGACAGAGUAUCGCUGAAAGUAUUCUCAGCGUCAAGCAAUCAACCUCGAGAGAGAGCGCGCAGUAGCGCGACCAGAGCCACCAAGCAAGGGUGCCAGCUGCCAGCGGACAAGCGUUGUGCCGACUCGGCUCAUCCAGCAGGGGAAAGAGCCUGACCAGCCGCCCCGUGAGCAAGAGUGUCAGCGAACCAGCGGCGAGCGCGUUCGAGCAUCUUCAAGGAGAGGGCGCGUGCGGAGCAGCUCCUCCAGCAGUGGAAGGAGCCUGCUGCUGCCAGCGGACCAGCGGCAAGCGUGAUCGAGCAUCUUCAAGGACAAGCAUCGUGCCGACGCAGCUCAUUAUCCAGCGGCAGAGAGAACCGUCAGCCAACGUCAGACGCCGAGCGAUAGAGGGAACCAGCUGUUGUUCGUAUACCCUCCCCCACAUUCACAAACCCACGACGCCCCCGGCGUCUGCUCACACAAGAAUUUACCAAAGAGACAACCCAACGCACCUCACACAAUAAUAAGACUAAUUAUAAAGUGCAUGAACCAUCAGCUGGCCGUGAAGGCAUCACGGCUCAUCGAGUGAUAAGAAUGUCGUUUAUAAGUACAUUCAUAUAUUUUUUUCUUAUUAUUUUAUUUUGUGAUUUUACUUCCAAUUGCAUCAAUUACCAAUAGAUUCAUCGAUACAAACUCAACUUUUCACGAUUCUAUACACUCACAGAGAGAAUAUCGUGUUAAACCUGUUUCUUUAUCAUUUAAUCUUGUCCACGAAUUAAUUAAAGCUUAGCCAAAUAUAAGAAUCUCCCGUGGGAGAGCACGCACCCCGUCGCACACCCUUAUUCCAAGACAUUUUGUUAAUUAUAUAACCUUGCCGAUGAAUCUAUUGACGUAUACUCUUGCCUUUGGGGUAUAAUAAUUUGCUUUAUUGCCUUUAGUGAAUAUCGUUGCAUGAAUUUUUAAGGACUUUUUAUUCCUAUUUGCCGUAUAUGCUCGUGUUACUCUGAGGAAUUAAUCAAUUGUUCUGUUACCCAGUCAACAAACGUUAUCAUUGAGGGUUAAAUGUAUGGAUUAAUGAGGGGAACAUCACCUGGAGUACUGUGACAAUUUCAAGCAUUAGAAUUCGCAUAUUAGAGUAAGGUUUUGUUAGAAAUUAAAAUUGCUUAACACAGAAAUGUUUGAGUGUCUUUCCUGAGUUCAUGCAUAAUAAUCUUAAUUAUAAGAACUGUAUCCUGCGUUGAGAUUUGGAGACCUGACAUAACACACUAAUACAUAAUCAGUAAAUGUUAAAGUGAGAAUUGUAUUAUACCAAUCGAUAAUAUGAACCUAGUCAACGAAGCCGAGCUUAAUCUGGCGUACUUAUAGCACACCUGCAUAACUUCAUACGAUUCAUUGUCUUAUCCCGAUUGAUGACACUACCCUCGUCAGCGGGCCAGGGCCUAAUAAUUGUAAUGGCUCACACUAGCAUAAGCACAUACAUUUGCAUAAAUUUAGUGAGAUUAUAUCUCGAAUUAGCACAAUUUAUGCGCAUAAUUACAUUAAUUAACAUAAUUUCUGAUAACACAUUUUUUUAUUUCAUUUCAUCAUUAUGUUUAUCAAAUAUUCAAUACCUGGCAUAUACAACAUAAGUCACGUGUGACUGUGUAUAUAUGCAUUCCUCUGUAAUCAAUACUGACAUGUAGAUGGUGUGGAUAUUUUUUCUGUCUGCAGCUGACGCUUCCUCUGCAGAAUUGAUCUGAUGGAGCAAAGACACUCGGCGCGGCUCGGUACAAAAAGGCAACAAUGGGACCAGCGUGCAAGCAGCACGGAUCAUCUUGGAAAUUUGACACAGCACCGGAUAACUCACCCAGGAGAGAAACCCUUCAAGUGCAGUGUGUGUGGGAAGGCAUUUUCGCAGU